RNAcentral lists this long non-coding RNA (4024 nucleotides) under Marmota monax (woodchuck). Lineage: Eukaryota; Metazoa; Chordata; Mammalia; Rodentia; Sciuridae. The record is from RNAcentral.
GUUUCAGUGUAGCACAUGCAAUCACAAAUUAAUAUUGUGUUGUCUCUUGAUCAUUUUAGUAACAUAAAAUUUGAUCAAUAGCACUUCUUUUUUUUAAUAUUUAUUCUUUAGUUUUUGGCGGAUACAACAUCUUUGUAUGUGGUGUUGAGGAUCAAACCCGGGCCGCACGCAUGCCAGGCGAGCGCGCUACCGCUUGAGCCACAUCCCCAGCCCUCAAUAGCACUUCUUAUGUUGUGGAAUAAGUACAUGGAAAUUUACCAAUUAAACUAAUCGAAAUAAGAUAACAUUAUUAUGUAUUUUAACUGUCAUGCCAAGUAUAUUAUUGCAGUUUUCUUGGAUUUUGCUUGUAGAAGAAUAAUAUUUACAAGUGAAGCCAUGCUUGCUAUUUGAAUUAUAAAGAACGUGAUUGGAUUCUUAAAGCCAGUUUUUAGGUUAUAAUUGAUAUACAGUAGACAUCUAAAUUACUUAAUAAAUCUUGAAAUAUAUAUGCAUAAACUCACCACAUCAAGAUAAUGAACAUAUUAUCAGUCUCCUCCCCAUAUUUCUUCCUUCCUCUCUCACCCAUCCAUCCCACUUAUUUCCCAGCAACCACAUAGGUUUGCAUUUUCUAGAGCUCAAUGUAUUUACAACCAGCAUACAUCCUUUUUGUUAGGCACUUACUCCACGUAACGUGAGAUUCAUCCAUGUUGAGCAUAUCAACAGCUCAUUCCUUUUUUAUUGCUGAGUGUUCAUCCAUUGUGUAGAUUAUCACAAUUUGUUUAUAUAUUCACCUGCUGGUGAAUAUUUGGGCUGUUUCAAGCUUUGGACUAAUGCAAAUAAAGCUGCUGUGAACAUAUGAGUCUUCAUAUAGACAUAUGCUUGCUGUUGUCUUGCAUAAAUACCUAGGAGUAGAAUAGCUGAUUUCUAUGAUAGGAACAUAUUUAACUUAUAAGAAGGUGCCAAAAUGGUUGUGCCACUUUACAUUCCCACCAGUAAUAUAUGAAGGUCAAGGUACUUUACAUCUUCAUCAAAUGCUUGGUAUAGUCAGAAUUUUUAAUUGGAGCCAUUUUAAUAGGUAUGUAGUGGUAUUGUUCUAGUUCUGCAAUUAAGUUCAUUAUUGGGUUUGUGUUUUACAUUCUGAAGAGCAGAGAUUUUUAAUUUUGGUAAAGUAAAAUUUAUUGUUUUUCUUCUGGAUUGCAAUUUUGGUGUUGCAUCUAUGAAAUUUUGUGUGAUCCCCUGGGCACAGUGGUACACACCUGUAAUUCCAGUGGCUCAUGAGGCUGAGACAGGAGGAUUGUGAGUUCAAAGCCUGCCUCAGCAAUGGCAAGGCACUAAGCAACUCAUUGAGACCCUGUCUCUAAAAAAUAGGGCUGGGGAUGUGGCUCAGUGGUUGGUGCCCCUGAGUUGAAUCCCCAGUACCAAAAAAAAGGGAAAAGAAAAAUAUAUCCUGGUGUUUUUGUUUUGCUCCCCUUAUCACUCCAAAAGUUUUGUGAUUUGGAGUUUCACAUCUAAAGUUUUACAUUUUGAUUUGAUCUCAUAUAUGGUUCAAGGUAGUGAUCAAAAGUUUUUGUUCUUGGGUUUUUUAUGGGGACAGGUGUUGUGGCAUAUGGAUCGCCGGUUCCAGCACCAUUUGUUGAAAAAUAGCUCUUUUCCCAUGGACUUGCCUUUGUGCCUUAGUCCACAUUUGUGUAAGUCAAUUUUUGCACUCAGAUUCUGUUUUGCUGAUCUAUUUGUCUUACUUGAUGCCAUUACUACAUUAUGUUGAUUACUGUAGCUUUGUAAUGAGUCUCAAAAUCAGCCAGUGGUUAGCAUUUUGUUCUUUUUCAAGUACUUUUAGCUAUAUUUCGUAUUUCCAUAUAAAUUUUAUGUUUUUAGAACCAGUUUGCUAGUUUCUACCACCAAAAACAAACAAAAAAAACCUUACUGGGCUUUUAAUUUGAAUUGUGUUGAAUCUGUAUAACAAUUUGGGAGGAAUUGGCAUCCUAAUGUUAAGUCUUCUGACUCCAACAUGGUAGAAUUCUACAUGUAUAUAAGUCUUUAUUUCUCUUAGCAAUAUUUUGUGGUUUUCAGUAUACAUGCAUUCUGUACAUGUUUUGUGAUUUAUCCCUAAGUAGUUAAUAUUUUUAUGUCAUUGUAAAUAGGUUAAUUUAGUUAUCCAUUGAUAGUAUAUAGAAAUAUACUAUCAAUUUAUUUUUUAUUAUUGACCUUGUAUACUGCAACCUUGCUAAAUAUACUUAUUCUAAUAAAUAAGAAUUAUCUCAUAUUUCCAAUACAAGUUACAGUCUGAUUCCCUGGAGUAACCUGGUGGUCUGAUUGAGUAUUCACUAUACUCUCUGAGCCAUUGUCAUAAUGGAAAGAGGUGGAAAGGACAAAUUCAGCAUUGGUCUUCUCUACAUGGGAAGAUCAUUUUCCAAUGGGCCAGGCUUUUAAGGUUUACUUUUUCAAAAGAGGAAAAUACUUAAUCUGAUUCAACCAUUGACUACUAGCCAUUAGCAUUGAAAUGGAGAGCUCCCAGAAUUCCUCAUGCUUAGGAUGGGCCCAACAAAGCUAAAAUUCACAUAGUUUCUGUCUUAAGCAUAGCCCAGCUAAAUCUGCCUAAAAUGUAUUUUUCCUUUUUAUAUUGUUCACCCAUUUCUUAUGCAGGCAGGGGGAGAGGGGGGAGGAACCAAAUCCAGCCAGAAGAUAACAGUAUCACUUUGAAGCCAGAAGAAAUUCAGAGCACACUCCAGACCUUUGAGCCAGACUGCAUAUGAACAACUUUCCCCAGGUGAUCUAUGUGCACAAAUUUUAGUAGCAUUGGUUCCUGUUGACAAAAAGCACCAUGUAGAUCCUUUACUUCUGGGCACCUUAUAAACUAGCUUUGUCUAUAAUUUACAGAAAGGACUCCCAAGGCCUUUUCUCAUAAUGAGAACUAGAAAGGCAUUUGUGAACAUUGUUGGAUUGUUUCUUGAAAUAAAUUUAUCUAUGUCAGUUUAAGUCUUCGACCAGCAUUCAUUGAACUGAGAGGAAGGCUCUGUGACUUUAGUAGACAUCUCAGCUGAGUGAUCAGGGUCUUCAUCACAAUAUCAUUUUCUAGAACCUUGUAGUGUCUUUCUUUUCCUUGUUGCACUUCAUUCACCCACCUUCAAAACCACACUCUAGACCUCUUGACCUAAUUGCCUCUGAAUUCUUUCUGACCUCAGCCAGCUGUCUUUUCCGUUUUAUCCUCCCACUGCAUCUGUUCUUUCAGGAAGACUGGUUAAUUUCCUUACUUUCUCCUCAUCUCUUCUGGUCAUCUCUUUGACUCUGCCUAACUACUACUCUCUCAUACCAGUUUUCUCCAGCUCCUGCCUUAGGAAAACCCAACCAUAGAUCAUUCUGUGAACUCUGAGGAUAUUCAAGCUGGUGAACAUUGCUGGGAAAAAUUUGGCUGUGCUAGUUGGUGCUCCUACAAAAUGUCUGGAGUUUUGCUGGGUCUCCCUAGCCAUCCAAAGGCAGAUCAUACCCAUUCUUUAUUUGCAUGAGUUUCCUGAAGCUGCUGCAACAAAUCCCUACAAACUUGGUGGCUUAAAGACAAAUUUAUCCUCUUGUAAUUCCAGAUGUCAGAAGUUCAAAAUCUAUUUUCUUCUGUGAAGUAAAGAUGUCAUCAACGUCACAGUCCCUCCAGAGGCUUUAAGAGAGAAUUCACUCCUUGCCUCUAAGCUUCUGGUGGUUGCUGGCUUCCUUGGCUUACAGCCACAACACUCCAGUCUCUACCUGUCCACAUGCCUUCUUUUAUGCCCGUACAAAAGAUACAUAAGACAGUUGCCUCUCUCAAGGACAAUUGUGAUGGAGUCUAGGGCCAAAUGGAUAAUCUCAAGAUCCUUAAUCACAUCUGCACAUCUGCAAAAACCUUUUCAAAAUAAAUUAACAUUUACAGAUUCCAAGAAUGAGAACUUGGUAUUUUGGUGUGUCCAAAUAUACCUAAUGUACUAUAUUCAACAAUUUUAUUAUUAAAAAUAGUAUAUAUACAGAAAUAUAUGAAAAUGUACCUCUUUAGUUCUCAAAUGAAGAAACAUUACCAGGU